Non-coding RNA from Actinomadura sp., 96 nucleotides. The record is from Rfam. NCBI's taxonomy places the organism in Bacteria, Bacillati, Actinomycetota, Actinomycetes, Streptosporangiales, Thermomonosporaceae.
UCAUCCCGUGCGGGAGAGUCCCCGGCAGCCGGCCCGGGACGCCGAAGGAGCAACUCCUCCCCGGAACCUCUCAGGCCAACGGACCGCACGGGCCAG